RNAcentral lists this ribosomal RNA (2446 nucleotides) under Listeria monocytogenes. RNAcentral's name for it is "partial 23S ribosomal RNA". It matches the Rfam family "Bacterial large subunit ribosomal RNA", at positions 415 to 2858 of the family's 2925-position model. The record is from RNAcentral. Lineage: Bacteria; Bacillati; Bacillota; Bacilli; Caryophanales; Listeriaceae.
CGGCGGAACACGUGAAAUUCCGUCGGAAUCCGGGAGGACCAUCUCCCAAGGCUAAAUACUCCCUAGUGACCGAUAGUGAACCAGUACCGUGAGGGAAAGGUGAAAAGCACCCCGGAAGGGGAGUGAAACAGUUCCUGAAACCGUGUGCCUACAAGUAGUUAGAGCCCGUUAAUGGGUGAUAGCGUGCCUUUUGUAGAAUGAACCGGCGAGUUACGAUUUGUUGCAAGGUUAAGCGGAAAAAGCGGAGCCGUAGCGAAAGCGAGUCUGAAUAGGGCGCAUAAGUAACAGGUCGUAGACCCGAAACCAGGUGAUCUACCCAUGUCCAGGAUGAAGGUAAGGUAAUACUUACUGGAGGUCCGAACCCACGCACGUUGAAAAGUGCGGGGAUGAGGUGUGGGUAGCGGAGAAAUUCCAAUCGAACUUGGAGAUAGCUGGUUCUCUCCGAAAUAGCUUUAGGGCUAGCCUCGAGGUAAAGAGUCAUGGAGGUAGAGCACUGUUUGGACUAGGGGCCCUUCUCGGGUUACCGAAUUCAGAUAAACUCCGAAUGCCAUGUACUUAUACUCGGGAGUCAGACUGCGAGUGAUAAGAUCCGUAGUCGAAAGGGAAACAGCCCAGACCACCAGUUAAGGUCCCCAAAUAUAUGUUAAGUGGAAAAGGAUGUGGGGUUGCUUAGACAACCAGGAUGUUGGCUUAGAAGCAGCCACCAUUGAAAGAGUGCGUAAUAGCUCACUGGUCGAGUGACCCCGCGCCGAAAAUGUACCGGGGCUAAACAUAUUACCGAAACUGUGGAUGAACCUCUUCGGAGGUUCGUGGUAGGAGAGCGUUCUAAGGGCGGUGAAGUCAGACCGGAAGGACUGGUGGAGCGCUUAGAAGUGAGAAUGCCGGUAUGAGUAGCGAAAGAAGGGUGAGAAUCCCUUCCACCGAAUAUCUAAGGUUUCCUGAGGAAGGCUCGUCCGCUCAGGGUUAGUCGGGACCUAAGCCGAGGCCGAUAGGCGUAGGCGAUGGACAACAGGUAGAGAUUCCUGUACCAGUGCUAAUUGUUUAACCGAUGGGGUGACACAGAAGGAUAGGGAAUCGCACGAAUGGAAAUGUGCGUCCAAGCAGUGAGUGUGAGAAGUAGGCAAAUCCGCUUCUCGCGAAGCAUGAGCUGUGAUGGGGAAGGAAAUUAAGUACGGAAGUUCCUGAUUUCACGCUGUCAAGAAAAGCCUCUAGGAAGAGUAGUACUGCCCGUACCGCAAACCGACACAGGUAGAUGAGGAGAGAAUCCUAAGGUGAGCGAGAGAACUCUCGUUAAGGAACUCGGCAAAAUGACCCCGUAACUUCGGGAGAAGGGGUGCUCUAUUAGGGUGCAAGCCCGAGAGAGCCGCAGUGAAUAGGCCCAGGCGACUGUUUAGCAAAAACACAGGUCUCUGCAAAACCGUAAGGUGACGUAUAGGGGCUGACGCCUGCCCGGUGCUGGAAGGUUAAGAGGAGUGCUUAGCUUCGGCGAAGGUACGAAUUGAAGCCCCAGUAAACGGCGGCCGUAACUAUAACGGUCCUAAGGUAGCGAAAUUCCUUGUCGGGUAAGUUCCGACCCGCACGAAAGGCGCAACGAUCUGGGCACUGUCUCAACGAGAGACUCGGUGAAAUUAUAGUACCUGUGAAGAUGCAGGUUACCCGCGACAGGACGGAAAGACCCCGUGGAGCUUUACUGCAACCUGAUAUGGAAUGUUUGUACCGCUUGUACAGGAUAGGUAGGAGCCGAAGAGACGUGUGCGCUAGCAUACGAGGAGGCAAUGGUGGGAUACUACCCUGGCUGUAUGACCAUUCUAACCCGCCACGCUUAGCGCGUGGGGAGACAGUGUCAGGUGGGCAGUUUGACUGGGGCGGUCGCCUCCUAAAGAGUAACGGAGGCGCCCAAAGGUUCCCUCAGAAUGGAUGGAAAUCAUUCGCAGAGUGUAAAGGCACAAGGGAGCUUGACUGCGAGACUGACAAGUCGAGCAGGGACGAAAGUCGGGCUUAGUGAUCCGGUGGUUCCGCAUGGAAGGGCCAUCGCUCAACGGAUAAAAGCUACCCCGGGGAUAACAGGCUUAUCUCCCCCAAGAGUCCACAUCGACGGGGAGGUUUGGCACCUCGAUGUCGGCUCGUCGCAUCCUGGGGCUGUAGUCGGUCCCAAGGGUUGGGCUGUUCGCCCAUUAAAGCGGCACGCGAGCUGGGUUCAGAACGUCGUGAGACAGUUCGGUCCCUAUCCGUCGCGGGCGCAGGAAAUUUGAGAGGAGCUGUCCUUAGUACGAGAGGACCGGGAUGGACACACCGCUGGUGUACCAGUUGUUCCGCCAGGAGCAUCGCUGGGUAGCUAUGUGUGGCAGGGAUAAACGCUGAAAGCAUCUAAGCGUGAAGCCCCCCUCAAGAUGAGAUUUCCCAUUUCUUCGGAAAGUAAGAUCCCUGAAAGAUGAUCAGGUAGAUA